CCAAUAGCGUAUAUUAAAGUUGUUGCAGUUAAAAAGCUCGUAGUUGAAUUUCGGGAUCAAUGUUUCGGUCAUGCCGUUGGUAUGUACUGAUAUUAUUGGUUUCUCACCUUCUAAAGAACCGUAAUGCCAUUAAUUUGGUGUCACGGGGAAUUAGGACUGUUACCUUGAAAAAAUUAGAGUGUUUAAAGCAGGCUCACGCUUGAAUACAUUAGCAUGGAAUAAUGAAAUAGGACAUCCGAUUCUAUUUUGUUGGUUUCUAGGAUCGAUGUAAUGAUUAAUAGGGAUAGUUGGGGGCAUUAGUAUUCAAUUGUCAGAGGUGAAAUUCUUGGAUUUAUUGAAGACUAACUACUGCGAAAGCAUUUGCCAAGGAUGUUUUCAUUAAUCAAGAACGAAAGUUAGGGGAUCGAAGACGAUCAGAUACCGUCGUAGUCUUAACCAUAAACUAUGCCGACUAGGGAUCGGAUGAUGUUAAUUUUUUAAUGACUCAUUCGGCGCCUUACG
RNAcentral lists this ribosomal RNA (501 nucleotides) under uncultured Glomeromycotina. RNAcentral's name for it is "partial small subunit ribosomal RNA". It matches the Rfam family "Eukaryotic small subunit ribosomal RNA", at positions 591 to 1092 of the family's 1831-position model. The record is from RNAcentral. Lineage: Eukaryota; Fungi; Glomeromycota.